This 271-nucleotide ribosomal RNA is filed under the name uncultured bacterium. RNAcentral describes it as "partial 16S ribosomal RNA". It matches the Rfam family "Bacterial small subunit ribosomal RNA", at positions 87 to 354 of the family's 1533-position model. The record is from RNAcentral.
CCCGGCGACCGGCGCACGGGUGAGUAACACGUACGAAGCCUGCCCGUAGCAGGGGGAUAAGCGGAAGAAAUUCCGUCUAAUACCGCGUAACAACCCAUGGAGGCAUCUCUGUGGGUUUAAAGGAAGCGAUUCCGGCUACGGAUGGUCAUGCGUCGCAUUAGCUUGUUGGCGGGGUAACGGCCCACCAAGGCGACGAUGCGUAGGGGUUCUGAGAGGAAGGUCCCCCACACUGGUACUGAGACACGGACCAGACUCCUACGGGAGGCAGCAG